CUUUUCCAGAAUGUGGUCUACCCCCAUGCCUUCCCCUGGCCUUCCAGACCAUUCCUCUACCCUGUAGUUCCAUCCCAGGUCAUAAGCUCCCAGUUUCCACGCAUCGCCACAGAAUGUUAUGACUUAAACAAUUUCUAGUAACUUAACCUGAGCUUAUAACAUCUUAUUACUUCCUUCCAGAGCCUCAGUUGGCUGUGCUGUGGGUUGAGGGCUGCGGCUAGCAGCGCAAGCUGGAGAGAGCGCAAAUCCUUUCAAGCUCAUCUUCUCUGACCUCUGCUCUCUCUGCUCUGCGGUACUUUGAUCUGCAGGAGAUGCACACUCCUUCCCAUGCGAGCAGGCAGGCUGCCAAGCAAUACAGUUUUAAAUUCCUCGGCAAACAAAUAAACAAAAGAUACCCUUGAAAAUCCUGCUCUGCAAAAUCUCAGCUCUGAAGCUUCCUUUUUAUAGAGUUUUCCAAAGCAGCUUAUUUUUUGAACAUUUGUAGUAUUUGGAAAUACCCGCAGCCAUCUUCACUUCGAACUAUACCAUCUGGCCGCUUGACAACUGUAAUUACUCUGCGUCCGGACGAGCCGGCACUCUCAAAAGAAAAUAAAAGGCGAAAGCGGGCUCCUUGCUGAAGUUUACGGGACAUUUGCACGUUGCUUGAGAGCUUCUCAAACAAAGAUUUCACACUCACAGAUAAGGAAAGGGGAGUAUGUAGGCUGUUGCCAAGCAAAGACCAUCUACACAGACCAGUGUAGCAGGCCCAGCAUGAAGAGACACCACCCAGGCUCACUGCUCACCGCCGCCCUCCACCAAGCUACUAGAAGGCGGGAUGUGGGGUGUGGUACUCCUGGGUCAGGAACACAGCCUGACAGGAGGGCUACGUGUGGACCCAACGUACUUCUCAGAGGCAUUUGAACUAGCCAGAAAAGGACAGUAAGUAUCCGAGGGCACUCCUUCUCUAUUUUCCUCCAAAAGCCAAUUAUCUCUUGCUUAUUCAUUUGAAAACUUUGUUGAAAAAGAGUAUCUGUCUGACUUCCCAUCAGUUUGAGACUUGGGUGUAGAGGAGCCCCAGGAAAUUAGAAA
This 1068-nucleotide long non-coding RNA is filed under the name Mustela putorius furo (domestic ferret). RNAcentral's name for it is "lncRNA (ENSMPUG00000029945.1)". The record is from RNAcentral. Lineage: Eukaryota; Metazoa; Chordata; Mammalia; Carnivora; Mustelidae.